GACGAACGCUGGCGGCGUGCCUAAUACAUGCAAGUCGAACGCUUUGAUUUUCACCGGAGCUUGCUCCACCGAAAAUCAAAGAGUGGCGGACGGGCGAGUAACACGUGGGCAACCUGCCCAACAGAGGGGGAUAACACUUGGAAACAGGUGCUAAUACCGCAUAAUUUGUUUUUCCGCAUGGAAGAAUAAUAAAAGACGCUUCGGUGUCACUGUUGGAUGGGCCCGCGCUGCAUUAGUUAGUUGGUGGGGUAACGGCCUACCAAGACCAUGAUGCAUAGCCGACCUGAGAGGGUGAUCGGCCACACUGGGACUGAGACACGGCCCAGACUCCUACGGGAGGCAGCAGUAGGGAAUCUUCGGCAAUGGACGAAAGUCUGACCGAGCAACGCCGCGUGAGUGAAGAAGGUUUUCGGAUCGUAAAACUCUGUUGUUAGAGAAGAACAAGUGAGAGAGUUACUGUUCUCACCUUGACGGUAUCUAACCAGAAAGCCACGGCUAACUACGUGCCAGCAGCCGCGGUAAUACGUAGGUGGCAAGCGUUGUCCGGAUUUAUUGGGCGUAAAGCGAGCGCAGGCGGUUUCUUAAGUCUGAUGUGAAAGCCCUCGGCUCAACCGAGGAAGGUCAUUGGAAACUGGGGAACUUGAGUGCAGAAGAGGAGAGUGGAAUUCCAUGUGUAGCGGUGAAAUGCGUAGAUAUAUGGAGGAACACCAGUGGCGAAGGCGACUCUCUGGUCUGUAACUGACGCUGAGGCUCGAAAGCGUGGGGAGCAAACAGG
This 775-nucleotide ribosomal RNA is filed under the name uncultured bacterium. Its description in RNAcentral is "bacterial SSU rRNA". It matches the Rfam family "Bacterial small subunit ribosomal RNA", at positions 28 to 776 of the family's 1533-position model. The record is from RNAcentral.